RNAcentral lists this ribosomal RNA (357 nucleotides) under Triticum aestivum (bread wheat). RNAcentral's name for it is "partial small subunit ribosomal RNA". The record is from RNAcentral. Lineage: Eukaryota; Viridiplantae; Streptophyta; Magnoliopsida; Poales; Poaceae.
AUGGAGAAGGAACAUGCUCAGGAGAAGAAGGAGCACGCCCAGGAGAACAAGAAGGAGCAGGAUAAGGCCCUCAGGACCUGGGACCGCUAUUGCUGGACCUGGGACCUAGGAUUGCUGCUGGACCUGGGAACUGGGAUCGCUGUUGCUGUGUGCCUCCUUGGCACCCCUGGAUCUGGGAUCGCUUCUGGAGACAAGGACCUGGGAUCGCUGCUGGAGGCGAGGACCUGGGAGCGCCUAGGACCUGGGCGCAUGGAGGAGAAGCAGGGGCAGGCGGAGGAGAAGCAGGGGCGGGCGGGCGGGCCGACGAUGGCCUGGAGGAUGGAGGAAGAAGACGACGGGGAUACGGAUUCAAACUAG